UUCCUUACAACUUUAACAAUAAUAAAAGUAACAACAGUCACUACUAUUAUAAGUAUUAAUACUAUUAUAAUAAUUAACUUGAUUGAUCUCUUCUGAUGCUUCUCAGCCUAAGAGGAAGAGAGAGAGGGAGGAACAAAGAAAGUAGCAUAAAGUGUGUGAGAGGUAAGGAAAAAAAGAACACUGUAUGUAGUGUUACUUAAAACUGAAAACAUGGAAGGAAACACAAAAGUUUAAUUACAAAGAAAAUUAAGGCAUGACUUUCAAGGAUAAAACAUCAUGAAGUAAGUGGUUUUUUGUCCUGGAAUUUAAUACUGUACAAAAGUUUUAUACAAUACAUAUAGUUGUAUGUACAGCACUUGUAUUACACAAUUCAUUAUAAGGUUUAGAUACAUGUAAUUGCAUAAAUUUUCUAUCCUUGAUAUUAAUAAACUACGUGUACAUACUUGGCUAUUCCAAGUAUGUCAAUAACUGUAUGUGUUAAUGUAUGUUCAUUGUAUGCCAUUUCCGCCAUGAUAGGCACAAAGUCUUACAACCGUGAUCAUUACAGAAAUGAAGUUAUGAACAUAAUCAAAGCAAUGUCACCACCACAAAGCACAUGCAGCGUUUGUCUCUGAUAGUUUUAAAGUAUAUUUUCUAUUUCUGUUGAAUUAAGAAUCAGUCCUCACAUUUUCAUCUUCUUAAAGGUAUUCUGGAUAACAUUAAUUAAAUUUGUGUUUACUACUCACUAGUCAAGCUUGGCUGUGUUGAUAUUCACAAAGCAUGUGGAAUAAAGGUUGGUCCAGUAACUAUUGGCUGUGCAGAUGAUGAGGAGAGAGCUAUCUUGGAUUAUACUAUAAGAAAUGUUCACUUCUUGCUAGUGAAGAUUUUUCAUUAUGCACAGCAGAAAACACAUGCACAUAAAGGAUGGAUGUGAUGAAGAUGAAGAAAAUGAUGCUGCAUGCUCUGUGUUAUUCUAAUAAAUGUAAAGAAAACUAUACAUCAGAGUUGUCAUUGUUUGCUGCGGAUAUUGCAGUUAUUUCUGUGGACCAGAGUACGCUGACAUGGUCCUAUACUGCUACUGGUAGUGCAAGGCCACCAAAAAGCUGUUACAAGCCAAAGUACAAUAGAGGUGUUGGAAGCCUCCCUUACCAACCGGAUUAGGGUUUGGUGGAAUAAUCAAGGAGGAUGUCCAGUUGAUAUCUCUGGUAAAGUGUCCAUUCAUUUUAAAUGCAACAAGCAAUGAACUGGUCUAAUAUAAUAAGUGCAUAUAGCUGUAUAUUUUUAAUGCUUCUUGUUGUCAUACAUAUAAACUUUACUUAUACAUUGCAUUUCUAUCUAUAUGCCACAUAAUCUAUGCCUUGCAAGUUGAUGAUUGAUUCAAUGAAUGAGAAAGAAUGUAACAAAGAAAAGUACAAUGGGGCAUUGUGUUAGGCUAUAUAAAGAGGUACUUUUUGAUGCAGUGAGCAAGUUACAACAAAGAGAAAAUCACGAUGAAGACUCUUGUAUU
This is a long non-coding RNA of Amphimedon queenslandica, 1486 nucleotides long. RefSeq lists it as uncharacterized. The record is from RefSeq and is a predicted model, not a curated record. The transcript is spliced from 4 exons. NCBI's taxonomy places the organism in Eukaryota, Metazoa, Porifera, Demospongiae, Haplosclerida, Niphatidae.